RNAcentral lists this ribosomal RNA (253 nucleotides) under uncultured bacterium. RNAcentral's name for it is "partial 16S ribosomal RNA". It matches the Rfam family "Bacterial small subunit ribosomal RNA", at positions 524 to 776 of the family's 1533-position model. The record is from RNAcentral.
UACGGAGGGGGCUAGCGUUGUUCGGAAUUACUGGGCGUAAAGCGCGCGUAGGCGGACCUGCAAGUCGGGGGUGAAAGCCCGAGGCUCAACCUCGGAACUGCCUUCGAUACUGCGGGUCUCGAGUCCGGGAGAGGUGAGUGGAAUUCCUAGUGUAGAGGUGAAAUUCGUAGAUAUUCGCAAGAACACCAGUGGCGAAGGCGGCUCACUGGCCCGAUACUGACGCUGAGGCACGAAAGCGUGGGGAGCAAACAGG